RNAcentral lists this ribosomal RNA (301 nucleotides) under uncultured bacterium. RNAcentral's name for it is "partial 16S ribosomal RNA". It matches the Rfam family "Bacterial small subunit ribosomal RNA", at positions 509 to 807 of the family's 1533-position model. The record is from RNAcentral.
CAGUAGCCACGGUAAUACGAGGGGGGCAAGCGUUGUUCGGAAUUAUUGGGCGUAAAGGGUGCGUAGGCGGUUUGAUAAGUCUUAUGUGAAAUCCCGGGGCUCAACCUCGGAACUGCCUUUGAUACUGGCGACCUUGAGUAUGGGAGAGGUGAGUGGAACUCCGAGUGUAGAGGUGAAAUUCGUAGAUAUUCGGAAGAACACCAGUGGCGAAAGCGACUCACUGGCCCAUUACUGACGCUGAGGCUCGAAAGCGUGGGGAGCAAACAGGAUUAGAUACCCCGGUAGUCCCUGUCUCUUAUAC